UGAACCCGCAGUCCUCGGUGAGUUAAAAGAAAAAAAUGGUUCGCGAUGCAGAUCGAGCGGCGGCGCUCCGAUGGGACCGGGAGCAGGAAGACGGCGGCGAGCACAUAAAAGGCGCGGGCGGCACACUGCCCGGCCGAGAGGAGGAGCAGGAGGGGAGGCGCUGAGGCGGGGCCAUAAGCGUCGGACGCGCUCGCUCGCCCGCAAUCAACGCGGACGCAGCGGCCAUCCAUGGCGGCUCGGGUCGAUGCAGGAGGACGAGGGGAGGAGCUCGUGAGGGCCGGCACCGGUAAUGGAGCGGAGGCGGGUGGAUCUGGCGAUUCCGCAGGGGCUGCGGCGACGAGCGGCUCCGUGUGCGGCGACCUGCGGGGUUCAAGCGACGGCUGCCAUGAAGGUUGGGCGGCGGCUCUCUUGUAGAGAAGGAAUAGAAGGAGAGGAAGAAGGAAUAGAAGGAGAGGAAGAAGGAAUAGAAGGAGAGGAAGAAGGCAGGUCACUCAAAGAGCAUUCAUCUCCUGCCCCCUCUCUCCUCUGGCAUGGCAUGAUGUGCGCGGCUGGAUGUGUGAUGUGCGUCCAUGUUCAUGUGAUCUUCAAGACAGCAGGGACCAAUUGCACCCUUGCUUUUGUUUCUGUCCUGUGAACCAGUCUAAGAUGGCCUCUAAGAAGCACUUGGCUGGUACAGAGAAAUUUUCUGUAGUCUUCAAAUAAAACAUCCUAAUCUUCUAUGAUGUGGUUUUUCGAGCAGGAAGGGGAGGUGAUGUGCGCCAGGUACGUGGUCGAGGAAGUGAACACCAGUUUCAGCUAUGUAGUGUUCUGUGGUGAAUGAGAAUGUUUCAUAGUUUAUUAUAUUAAUCUAAAUUUUGGUUUUACGUUUUUGCUUCACAGAUAUUUUUGAGUAACUUUUUUCCAAACUAUGUACUAUACAUGUGGAUUUUUUUUUGCGGGGAUACUGCAUGUCCACUUCUGAGUACAAAUUCUAAAUUCGUAUAUGAAACCUUAAUUCAACUCCUACCAUACAAAACUAAUUUUGUGGUUCAGUUGUUUAAGAGCUCAAAUAGGAUGUGUACUGGAACCUCAAGGAAAAUGAAAAGAAGAGUAGGAGCAGGAGCUGGAGACGCAGCCGCACAAGGUCGAACCGGCCACAUAGAUCCUUUUAUUCUGCAACUAUGACAACUCUGGCAAGACCUUUGUUGAUGUGGCUGCCUUGAGGAAGCAUGCUCAUGUACAUGGCGAGAGGGGAUGUAUGUUUUUCAGUAGCCCGGCUAUUGGAAGUAAUUCCAGGCUUUUUAUAAAGGACCUUUCUCUGUUUGGCAUAGAUUAAUGAUUUUGGUACAUCCAUCCAUCCAAUCCAGAUGCCGCUGAUGAACAAAUAGUGAUCCAGUUUGGUCGGGUUAGAUAUAAGUUUGGUCUCCGCUCGAGCUCCUGUUGUUGCUUGGAUUUUCCUUUUCCCCUCUCAUCCAACCGCAGGGGCCUGUUAUUUUUUUCAUCUAGAUGAUGUUGUGGUCGCCCGGCCGAUCAAAUCCUCGCGCACACACAACAACUCAACUCCACGGUCUGCACGCAGCAGCUCAACACCACGGUCUGUAUGCCACCGCCGCCUCUUGAGCAGCUCGAUGGGCGAUUUAUGUUAUGUAUCUCUAUAUGAUAAUCCCUCCAUAGCCAUGUAGAAAAAGGCUUCGAUUUGAUUUUAGUUCAGUUUAUCAGCGUGGUGAUGCUCACCCUAAUAGGUGGUGUGUUGUUAUACUGUAUUGAAUAAAUGAUGGGCACUGAAUUUUCCAUGGAUUCAGUAGAGGAGAAGAAUCUCACCUACUUGCUAGCUUCCAACUUGAAAUAGUGAAGACACCCAUUUUCAGAGCAGUUGCACUCACAUGUGUCCUGAAUCAUUUAAUUUCUUUGUUUCGUGAAUAAAUGUUGGUUGGUGCUCUUGCUUUUUUACCAUGGUAACUUUGUAAACUUCAGAAUGCCUAAAGUUGAAGCUCACAUGCUGGAGUGUUUAUGCACAUCUGAAGUUGGCACAUUCAGUUCUGCAUAUAUCGAACAGCCUUCAAAACUUCUGAAAGCAUAGAGCUGGAGAACCAUCCUCUAGACUCUCCUGUAUCCCCACAGAUUAUUUUGCUUCCAAACUUCUGAUAAACACAGCAGCUUCCAAUGCAAUUUCACUUGCCAGAUGUUGUUAUUCAGGAGGAGGAUUUCCGUAGUAUCCCUGGGCUGGAAUAGAAUUCCUUGAUUUGACGUCAAGCAUUGGCAACUGCAGAAUACAUUGUCUCGAGGUACAAUCACACGUGAUUCUCAAACAAUCAUUGAUUCAUGAAUUGCAGCAGGGUGAACCCAAGAUGUCCGGAGCCUCUCUUGUGAAUCACAUUGCUUACAAUGAUUUCAUGAUUGAGGAUUAUACGAUUAUUAAAGCACAUACAUCGAAGUUUUAAUAUAGGCAGGUUGCGUGCACACGCACCUCUUUGCCCAGGUGUACUUGAUGACACAUAUGCCCUUUGUAUGGCUGGUAAACAGAAGGUGGUCACGUUGCUGCAUUUGAUUGUUGCGUACAAGGAUGAGACUGAGUAUAAUGUGCUUGCACAUGCCAUCAACUCACUACUCUUCCUAUUCUAAUUAAUUUUUGUUGUUCCUAAACUUGAUCUUGUUCUAAUGAUCAUUUAUCAUGCAGUCUCUUCUAGCUUUUCAGAAAUCCGUCCCUUGCAAGUGAGGUGGCUGGGAUGCCAAGAGUGGGGAGGGUCACCUGAAUACACUGUUAAGAGGUGUAAAGGAAGUGAAGUGUGAACCCAGUGUUUCUUUUGACUACUCCAAGUCUGAAAUGAAUUCCAUGAGGAGGAAAAGGCUGAAUUGAGUGCUUGAAAUAAAGGAGGAGCAUCCUAAGAAGCAGUCAGGUUGGAGAAAAAGAUCAGAGUUUCAUCUGUUGUGAAAGUGGAAGGUAAUUAGACGUCAGAAGAUUACAAGGAAAGAUAAAGCGGAUAAAUUUACACGGAAUCAUACCACAUGAGCUCACAUCACGGCCGUUGUCCCACGACACAGGUUCUUGCCAACCAUGAUUCAUAGGAUAGGAAGUGGUGCUCUCUCCUGGUGCAACGCACGGGCAUUUGUGCUAGUAUCACAAAACAACUGAGAACAGACAAACAGGCAAUUGUAACAUUGUAUGGGCAAGUCCAGCACGGAACUAGAUUACAGGUCAAAAUCAAAGGAACAUCACUUCUCUCUUUUAAA
This is a long non-coding RNA of Triticum aestivum (bread wheat), 3210 nucleotides long. RefSeq lists it as uncharacterized. The transcript has 11 exons. The record is from RefSeq and is a predicted model, not a curated record. NCBI's taxonomy places the organism in Eukaryota, Viridiplantae, Streptophyta, Magnoliopsida, Poales, Poaceae.